CCUACGGGAGGCAGCAGUGAGGAAUAUUGGUCAAUGGACGAGAGUCUGAACCAGCCAAGUAGCGUGAAGGAUGACUGCCCUAUGGGUUGUAAACUUCUUUUAUAGGGGAAUAAAAUGGUCCACGUGUGGGAUUUUGUAUGUACCAUAUGAAUAAGGAUCGGCUAACUCCGUGCCAGCAGCCGCGGUAAUACGGCGGAUCCGAGCGUUAUCCGGAUUUAUUGGGGUUAAAGGGAGCGUAGGGGGAUUGUUAAGUCAGUGGUGAAAGUUUGCGGCUCCACCGUCAAAUUGCAGUUGAAACUGGCAGUCUUGAGUUCAGUAGAGGUGUGCGGAAUUCGUUGUGUAGCGGUGAAAUGCUUAGAUAUCAC
This 365-nucleotide ribosomal RNA is filed under the name uncultured bacterium. RNAcentral describes it as "partial 16S ribosomal RNA". It matches the Rfam family "Bacterial small subunit ribosomal RNA", at positions 338 to 700 of the family's 1533-position model. The record is from RNAcentral.